CCUACGGGAGGCUGCAGUGGGGAAUAUUGGACAAUGGGCGCAAGCCUGAUCCAGCCAUGCCGCGUGAGUGAUGAAGGCCUUAGGGUUGUAAAGCUCUUUUAUCCGGGACGAUAAUGACGGUACCUGAGGAAUAAGCCACGGCUAACUUCGUGCCAGCAGCCGCGGUAAUACGAAGGGGGCUAGCGUUGCUCGGAAUCACUGGGCGUAAAGGGCGCGUAGGCGGCGUUUUAAGUCGGGGGUGAAAGCCUGUGGCUCAACCACAGAAUGGCCUUCGAUACUGGGACGCUUGAGUAUGGUAGAGGUUGGUGGAACUGCGAGUGUAGAGGUGAAAUUCGUAGAUAUUCGCAAGAACACCGGUGGCGAAGGCGGCCAACUGGACCAUUACUGACGCUGAGGCGCGAAAGCGUGGGGAGCAAACAGGAUUAGAUACCCCUGUAGUCCA
Molecule: ribosomal RNA, 442 nt
Filed under: uncultured bacterium
Lineage: Bacteria
Description: bacterial SSU rRNA
Rfam family: Bacterial small subunit ribosomal RNA
Source: RNAcentral